GAAAGCCGUGUGCAAUGAAAAAUGCAUGCACGGCUUGGGGAGGGAUUUUUUAUUCUUUUAUUUGAUUAAAGAAUGCAAUUUCUACUCCAU
This is a non-coding RNA of Medicago truncatula (barrel medic), 90 nucleotides long. Lineage: Eukaryota; Viridiplantae; Streptophyta; Magnoliopsida; Fabales; Fabaceae. The record is from Rfam.